Molecule: long non-coding RNA, 400 nt
Organism: Cyprinus carpio carpio
Lineage: Eukaryota; Metazoa; Chordata; Actinopteri; Cypriniformes; Cyprinidae
Source: Ensembl
CACUUCCUGGGCAACACACGUCCCCCGUGGUUUAGGCUCGUAAUUGACCUUUCCUGACAGAGCAAUCUGUGGACGAUGUACAGAAUAAAUGAUGAUUUGAGAGCGAGAGGUCGCCUCGGAAGUGUGAGUCAUCCGUCAGUGUUUGUGUGCUGGGAGAGCGGCCCACUGUGGCCUGACUCUACGGCAGACAUUCAUGAAGCCCCCUCACACCAGGAUCGCUCUACAAUGACAGCUUUGUAAAGGAUGGAAGAGAGCUGCUGUGGAAAAUAUUCAAGACACAGAGAGAAAGAGAGAGACAAUGAGAGAAAAAGAGGAGCUAUCAAAGUGUUUCGUUCACAAAGUCUGCGAGUGUUCCAGCUCCACUGGAAACUUUCAGUCGUUCAGUUGAGUUUAAAGGGGG